This 666-nucleotide ribosomal RNA is filed under the name uncultured bacterium. RNAcentral describes it as "bacterial SSU rRNA". It matches the Rfam family "Bacterial small subunit ribosomal RNA", at positions 59 to 728 of the family's 1533-position model. The record is from RNAcentral.
AAAUGGAAUGAAGAUUUAUCUGAUUGAAGUUUUGUAACAAUGGCUUUAGUGGCGGACUGGUGAGUAACACGUAAGCAAUCUACCUAUUAGAGGGGAAUAACAAUGAGAAAUCAUUGCUAAUACCGCAUAAGCUUGUAGUACCGCAUGGUACAGCAAGAAAAGGAGCAAUCCGCUAAUAGAUGAGCUUGCGGCUGAUUAGCUAGUUGGUGUGGUAACGGCAUACCAAGGCAACGAUCAGUAGCCGGGCUGAGAGGCUCUUCGGCCACAUUGGGACUGAGAUACGGCCCAGACUCCUACGGGAGGCAGCAGUCGGGAAUUUUGCGCAAUGGAGGAAACUCUGACGCAGUGACGCCGCGUAUAGGAAGAAGGUUUUCGGAUUGUAAACUAUUUUAGUCAGGGAAGAAAAAUGACAGUACCUGAAGAAUAAGCUCCGGCUAACUACGUGCCAGCAGCCGCGGUAAUACGUAGGGAGCAAGCGUUAUCCGGAUUUAUUGGGUGUAAAGGGUGCGUAGACGGGAAGACAAGUUGGUUGUGAAAGCCCUCGGCUCAACUGAGGAACUGCAACCAAAACUAUCAUUCUUGAGUGCGGGAGAGGAAAGUGGAAUUCCUAGUGUAGCGGUGAAAUGCGUAGAUAUUAGGAGGAACACCAGUGGCGAAGGCGACUUU